CAAGUUGAGCGCUGAAGGUUGGUACUUGUACCGACUGGAUGAGCAGCGAACGGGUGAGUAACGCGUGGGGAAUCUGCCUUUGAGCGGGGGACAACAUUGGGAAACGAAUGCUAAUACCGCAUAACACCUUUAAACACAAGUUUUAAGUUUGAAAGAUGCAAUUGCAUCACUCAAAGAUGAUCCCGCGUUGUAUUAGUGGGUUGGUGAGGUAAAGGCUCACCAAGGCGAUGAUACAUAGCCGACCUGAGAGGGUGAUCGGCCACUUUGGGACUGACACACGGCCCAAACUCCUACGGGAGGCAGCAUUUGGGAAUCUGCGGCAAUGGACGAAAGUCUGACCCAGCAACGCCGCGUGAGGGAAUAAGGUUUUCGGAUCGUAAAACUCUGUUGGAAGAGAAGAACGUUGGUGAGAGUGGAAAGCUCAUCAAGUGACGGUAACUACCCAGAAAGGGACGGCUAACUACGUGCCAGCAGCCCCGGUAAUACGUAGGUCCCGAGCGUUGUCCGGAUUUAUUGGGCGUAAAGCGAGCGCAGGUGGUUUAUUAAGUCUGGUGUAAAAGGCAGUGGCUCAACCAUUGUAUGCAUUGGAAACUGGUAGACUUGAGUGCAGGAGAGGAGAGUGGAAUUCCAUGUGUAGCGGUGAAAUGCGUAGAUAUAUGGAGGAACACCGGUGGCGAACGCUGGCUCUCUGGCCUGUAACUGACACUGAGGCUCGAAAGCGUGGGGAGCAAACAGGAUUAGAUACCCUGGUACUCCACGCCUUAAACCAUGAGUGCUAUGCGUAUGGAGCUAUACUUUCUCUGUAUCCCCGCUAACGCAAUAAGCUCUCCGCCUGGGGAGUACGACCGCAAGGUUGAUACUCANAGGAAUUGACGCGGCCCCGCACAAGCGGUGGAGCAUGUUGCUUUAAUUCGAAGCAACGCGU
This 925-nucleotide ribosomal RNA is filed under the name Lactococcus lactis subsp. lactis. Its description in RNAcentral is "bacterial SSU rRNA". It matches the Rfam family "Bacterial small subunit ribosomal RNA", at positions 58 to 964 of the family's 1533-position model. Lineage: Bacteria; Bacillati; Bacillota; Bacilli; Lactobacillales; Streptococcaceae. The record is from RNAcentral.